Molecule: long non-coding RNA, 32793 nt
Filed under: Panax ginseng (ginseng)
Lineage: Eukaryota; Viridiplantae; Streptophyta; Magnoliopsida; Apiales; Araliaceae
Description: long non-coding RNA (PGIN_LNC000172)
Source: RNAcentral
CCGUUCAUACCUCUCUCUCUCCAAUUGAGCAAGUCUUCAUAUACCCAAAAUACCAAAACACCAAAAUUCUUCAAAAUCCUCUAAGAACGGAAGUCACCAACUGAAAUGGAGAAGGAAUUGGAGUAAGGUGCAGUCCAAAAGAAGAAUUUAACUCAACUAAUUGCAAGUUGGAGCAAGGAUUUGAUCAUAACAUCAAGCUACAAAGAGGUACGUUAGUUAUAUUUGCUGAGUUUAUGAAUUGAGAAAAUAGAGAAUAGUUUAUUGUUACUAUAAAUUGAAUUGCUUGAUUUGUGAUUGAGUUGUGAAUUAGUUUGAGGAGGUUUAUGCAUGACAUAUGGAGUGAUAAGGAAGAAAUUUUUUGGAUAAAUUCAUGUAAGAACUCUAUUUUUAAAACUAAUGCACAUAUAGUGUGUUUGAAAAAUUGCGCUGUCAAGCAUAAAUAGAAGGAUUUGGUCAAGUUUGUGAUUAAGGAAUUCUUUAUACAUGUUUUAUAAAGUAAGUCAAGCUGUUUGGGUGAUCCCAAACAAGUUUAAAAGCGAAUUUAUGAGAAUUGAACAAGUUUGGCUCGGUUGAAAAUCUGCUCCAACAUGGCAGUUUUGAGCUCUUAUAAAACCGGUUUAAGUUGUUCAUUUUGGCUGAUUUAUAUUUUUAUAAAAUAAUAUGUAGUACCAUCUAGAACAUAUUAAAAUUUGAGAGCAAUUAGAUGUGUGGAUUGCAAGAUAGAAAAUCGUAAAGUAGGCAAGAAAAUAACAAAGUUGUUAGAAAUCUGGAAAAUUUCUUAGUCUGAAACUACUGUGAAUGGGCUGUUUCGCGCCAUUGUUUCGAAGCCUUGUCAAACUCUUUUCAUACAUGUUAUAUUUUUUAAAAAAUACUACGUAGUAUGAGGUAGAACAUAUCACAAAAUGGCUUCAAUCUGAUGUAUAAUGAGUGAGAUAAUAUUUUGCAAAACUAGCACGAAAAUCACAAAAUUCAAAAUUUCUAGAUUUUUGCCAAGAGCCUGGGCAGUGUGCAUGCAAUCCUACGAAGGUUACUGUUUCUAGCACGCCGAGUUAAUUUUUGGGCAUUACGUAAUUUUUUGAUGUGUUGCUCAAUUUUUCGUAUAGAAUCCAAAUAUGUAAUCAUUUCGUAGCACUUUUUGGAAAACCCAAAAAGUGUGAACUAAUUAGAAGAAAAUUUUCGCUAUUUUGUUAACUUUGAUGCAAUUUCAUAAUAUAAUUAAGUUGUGUAGUAGUAUGGAUGUAUUUGUUAACCUACAUAAGGUAUAAUACAUCAAAGCAUAAGGUAGGGCUAAGCAAGUAAUCAAAUUGGAACAGAAACCACACCAAAAACCGCACGAACCGCACCAAUUAAAAUCGCAUCACCGAUUCCGGCGUAUUUGGCGGUUAUAGGUGGGUUGAAUAACUAAAUUUACGAUUCCGAUUUGGUUACUAGCCAAAAUCGCACGCAUAAAAUUGAGUUCGCACCAUGUGUGUGUAUGUAUGUAUUAUCUCUAGUAAAUUCUAAAGUUACUUUCACAUGAAUACGCUCAGAGAAAACCUCAGUCUUGCAUUGUCAUUGUUUCACCAAUUGAAAGAAGAUUGUUAGAGGUUAUAGAGUCAAAAAUUAAGCAAUUGAGUUUUGGAAUUUCGAAUUUGUUUGAUGCGUUAUUGGAGGGGCUUAUAGCUGAGGGGCCAAAUUCGUUGAUUUGAGCACUUGAUGCAUUGGUUAAGGUCAAUAUUAUAAUAGUAAUAGUCUAAUAGAUUAUUUUUCAAAUUAGGUAAAGUUAGGAUUAUAUCCUAUAAGUCCUCCCUGCAAUAUAUAAGAUAGAAUUUCAUUCUAUCUCCAGUAUAUACUAUUAAUUUUUGGAGAACUAGAUAAACAUUCUAUCUCCAGUAUAUACUGUUAAUUUCUGGGUAACCCAUAAUAGUUAUCAUGGUCGGUCAACGGUUUUGUAGCUUUCAUAUCUUUGAAUCUGUGUAAUAGAUUUGUGUUGUGUUUGUUGUAAUAGGUAGUCUAUAUGUCAAAGUACAUAUAUAUAACACUAGUUUGGACCAAGCAUGAUUCUAAGGUCUCGAUCUAUAUAUGUUGGUCAAAGUACAGCCAAAGGUUGUUCUUCAUGUUCAUCAGUUUUUUGGGUAACCCAUAAAACUUGGUCAAGCUCGGUCAACGAAUUUUGACCAUUAAUUUCAGUAAUCAUAUGAACUGUUUAACCAAUUUAAGGUCAUAGAUAUGUAAUAUGUAUAUCAAGGUAUUAAUUUAUUACAAAAAGUUAUUAAAACAACAAACAGAAAGCGAUUAAAAGGCUGGUCAAAGUAGUCAGUUCAACCUGUUCUUAAGUUUUCUGGGUAACCCAGAAAACAGAACAUCGUGAUCGGUCAACCACCUUUGACCACCUAUAUCUUGAAAUAUAUGGUUCUAAUGAACCUGUUUUCUUUUUCAGAAUAAAGACCUCAUGUCAUGCUACAAAUAACACAUAAUUAACAGACCUAAUUAUUAACAUACAUGAAUCUACAAGCUUUGAUAUUCGACUGUCAGACUUGUUUUUUCAAAAUUCCUAGAUUGCUUAACACACUAAUUUGAGGCAUCUAGAUGUUAUGAAAACAUGUUCUAUUAACUUAGCAUACUUUCUAACAUGUUAUUACAUAUAUCUAAACAUCUAAACAACAAUUUGAACAAAGCAUCAAAGAUCUAGCUAUGAAUUAGGGUUUGCACAUUUCUUGCUUGAUUUUGAUUUCUGGCUAUUGAAUCUGUUAUUGCUAUCACCAGGGCUUGUAUAGGCAGGUUAUAUGAGUGUUUUGGCUUAUAAUUUUUGUGGGUUUGUUCUGAGCUAGGUUUUUUUUUAUAAAUUUUUCUAACUUGGCUUUUUGGUCAUUUUUCCGCCUACUUGCCUCCUAAAAGAUCUGAUCUAUGACUCUUCUGGUGCUUGAGAGUUUGGAAGCAUGUCAUGUGAUGUUUUGGGACUUGUGUGGAUGACUCUCAACCUACUUGUGAGCUAGUUGACCAAAUUAGUAUCUUAAAUAUGCCCUAAUUCUCAUUAAUUUUGAUUAGGGUUUUGUUUUUAAUGAUUAGGGUUGCUUAAUGUUGUUUAUUAGUACCUAAUUGACAUUUAUUAAUCAUGAUUAGGUGUUAGAAUAACCUAAUUAGGGUUUAGUUUAGCUAAUUAGGGUUAGGGUUUACAAAUUAGGGUUAGGAUUUAUAAUCUAGGGUUUCUAACCUUGAUUUUACAUAAAUCCUAACAAGCACGACAAGGCAUUUUGUCAGUGUAAGCAUGAUAAAGCAGCUUAUCAAAACAAAUAUACCAAAAAGUUCAUUUUCAGAAGAAAAUUUUUAAGCACAAGGUAUCAAGCACGUCAAUUUUUGGGCGAAAAUUUAUUUUACCAAAUUUGUUUAACAAAGUAUAUAUUAACACAUAACAGUUUCAGAAUGGGGAGAUUUUAUUAAUAUAACUGAAUUUAUAUAUCCGAGUCUUAUUAGGGUUUUGCGGUUUUACAUUCACCCCCGCUAAUAAGAAUUCUGUCCUCGAAAUUACAGUACAGGUUAAGUAAACAGUUAGGGAUAGUUCUCUCGCAUUUUAUCUUUGAGCUCCCAUGUAGCCUCUUCAACGUUCUGAUUCCUCCAGAUCACUUUGAACGAUGCUAUCACUUUAUUCCUCAGGACUUGCUCUUUACGAUCAACGAUCUGCACAGGUUCUUCUACAUAAGAAAGAUCUUCUUCAAUUUCGAUUAGCUCAUAAUUUAUAAUAUGUUUAUAAUCAGGUUUGUAUGGUUAUAAUACGAAUACAUGAAACACAUUAUGAAUAUGGUUUAACUCAGGAGGUAGUGUUAUUUCAUAAGCAACUUCACAUAUGCUCCUCAAAAUUUCAAAAGGUCUAAUGAAUCUCGAACUCAGUUUUUCUUUCUUGCCAAAACGUAUCCUUCCAAGGAGAUACUUUCAAGAAUACGUGGCUUCUUACGCUAAAGUUUCGUUGUUGACGAUGUGGAUCAGCGUAUUUUCUCUGACGAUCUUGAGAUGCUUGUAAUCGCUCACGUAUAAUUCUGAUGGUUUUAGUAGUUUGUUGAAUUAUAUUAGGUCCUAACAUUUGUCUUUCCCCGACCUCAUCCCAACAUAAGGGUGUUCUACAUUUUCUCCCAUAUAAGGCUUCAUAUGGUGGCAUACCUAUACUAGCAUACAUAUACUAGCAUGAUAACUGUUGUUGUAGGCAAAUUCCACCAAAGGUAAUUGAUCUUCCCAACUUCCUUUGAAGUUAAUGAUAUAUGUUCUCAACAUAUCCUCUAAUGUUUGAAUGAUUCUCUCACUUUGCCCAUCUUUUUGAGGGUGAUAAGAUGUAUUCAAUCUUAAUUGUGUUCCUAAAUGUUUUUGAAGGCUCUUCCAAAAAUCCGAAGUAAAACGUGGAUCUCGAUCUGAUACUAUAGAAACAGGUACUCCAUGCCUAGAGAUGAUUUCAUUAAUGUAUAGCUUGGCAAGGUGGUUUAAGUUAUGGGUAAUUUUAAUAGGUAAAAAGUGAGCUGAUUUGGUUAAACGGUCAACUAUUACCCAAAUGGCAUUGUGGCCCUUCUGUGUACCUGGAAGGCCUACCACAAAGUCCAUGGUUAUAUGUUCCACUUUCACUCAGGAAUUGGUAAGGGUUGAAGUAAUCCACUUAGCUUUUGGUGUUCAGCUUUAACCCUUUAACAUGUGAGACAUUUACUUACCCAUUCAUCUAUUGCUCUUUUCAUAUUCGACCACCAAAAGUGUUGACUUAAGUCUUUGUACAUUUUUGUACGGCUAGGAUGUAUGGCAAAUGUAGAAUUAUGAGCUUCGUUUAAGAUUUCGUCUUUUAAGGGUUGGUUUAACGGAACCCAAAUUCUAUCUUCAUAUCUUACUAUUCCAUCCUUGUCUAUUCUUAAUAUGAGUUAUAUUAGACUUAUAUUUCUGACAUUCAUCAUCCUUUUCCUGCAUCUCUUCGAUUCUAUCAAGUAGAGAUGAAACUCCCUCUAGAAUGAAUAACUUUUGGGUAGAGAUUGUUGGACAUUCCACCUCAAUUUCUAAUUUUUCAAAAUCUUUUAUUAACCUAUCAUUGGUGGUUAUUACGUUCAACUUUUCUUGAUUCUUUCUACUUAACGCAUCAGCUACGACAUUAGCUUUACCGGGAUGAUAUAAGAUUUCACAUUCAAAAUCCUUUAUCAAUUCUAACCAUCUUCUCUGUCUUAAGUCCAGUUCUUUUUGGUAAAAAAUAUUUUAGACUUUUAUGAUCUGUAUAUAUCUCGCACUUCUCCCUGUACAAGUAAUGUCUCCAAAUUUUUAGAGCAAAGACUACCGCAGCUAACUCUAGGUCAUGAGUAGGAUACCUCUUCUCAUAAUCUUUGAGUUGUCGUGAUGCAUAAGCAAUCACUUUCCCAUGUUGCAUCAACACACACCCUAAACCUCUAUGUGACGCAUCACUAAAAAUUACAAGGCAUCUUGUAUCAUCUGGUAAGGACAACACUAGAGCCAUGCUCAAUCGCUUCUUCAACUCUUGAAAGCUCUCUUCAUAUUUUUUUUGUCCAAACGUAUUUGACCAUCUUUCGAGUUAAAUUGGUUAGUGGGGUUGCUAUUUUUGAAAAAUCUUUUAUAAACCAUCGAUAAUAACCUGCUAAACUGAUAAAACUUCUUACUUCUAUUGGAAUUGUUGGUUGUUCCCAAUUCACAACUUUUUCGAUCUUAGUUAGAUCUACUGAUAUUCCAUCUUUGUCAAUUACAUGACCUAAAAAUUGAACUCUCUUUAACCAGAAUUCACACUUCGAAAAUUUCGCAUAAAGUUGUUCCUUUCAUAAUAUCUCUAAAAUAACUCUCAAGUGUUCAACAUGUUCUUCCUGUGUUUUCGAGUAUACCAGAAUAUCGUCGAUAAACACUACAACAAAUUGUCCAAGCAUGGUUUAAACACUCGAUUCAUUAAAUCCAUAAAUGUUGCUGGUGCAUUUGUCAAUCCAAAAGACAUUAUAAGAAACUCAUAAUGUCCAUAGCGAGUCCUGAACGCUGUUUUUGGCACAUCUUCCUUUCUUAACUUUAACCGAUGAUAACAUGUUCUAAGGUCAAUCUUUGAAAAGUGUUCGGCCCCCUUUAAUUGGUCAAACAAAUAAUCAAUCCUUGGUAAAGGAUAUUUAAUCUUAAUGGUUAAUUUGUUUAAUUCUCUAUAAUCUAUACAUAAUCUCAUGGUUCCAUCCUUCUUCUUUACAAAUAAUAUUGAUGCUCCCCAAGGUGAAACACUAAGUUGUUUGUACUUUUUAUCUAAGGGUUCCUGUAAUUGUACUAGUAACUCUUUCAGUUCUACAGGUGUCAUUCUAUACGGUGCCUUAGAAACCGGUGCCGUUCCCAAUGCAAGAUCAAUGACAAACUCAAUUUUCCUAUAUGGAGGUAAACCUGGUAAGUCAUCCGAAAAUACAUCGGGAAAAUCCUUAACUACGGGUAUUUGAUCUAGUUUUACUCCUUCCUGUUAAGUAUCAACCAUCUAGGCAAAAUAUCCUGAACAAUCUUUUUUAAAUAACCUUUCUGCUUGAGUUAUGGUCAAGCAUCUAGAUUGCUUAGGUGAACAACUUCCGUUGAACACUACCUUUGACUUCGAUGCAGUAAAAAGGUUUAUACGUUUUUGAUGAUAAUCAAUCAUCGCAUUAUGGUUAACUAACCAAUCCAUUCCUAAGAUUAAAUCAAAUUAUCCCAACUAAAUUGGAAUAAGAUCUACCAGAAAAUUGUGUCCCUUAUCUCCACACUACAAUUCCUAUAUAUGGUUUUAACCGGAAUCUUUUCGUUGUUUGCAAUUUCUAUACAAAAUGGUUUGUCUAAAUUUUCACAUGUUAUAUUCAGGUUUUUAAAAAAACUAUUAGACACAAAGGAACAAGUAGCACCAGAAUCGAAUAACACAUAUGCAUUUAAAGUGUUGAUAGGGAUGAUACCUGUCACCACGUCCUGUGCAGCAACAGCAUCCCUCACCGACAUAUUAAAUGUUCUCGCGGUUGGUCGACUCUGAACUCCAACUACAGCUACUGUUGACUGAUUAUUGUUAUUCUUCGGUACUCUAUUCCCCUUUCCUCCCUGGUUCUUAGGUUUGGGACAAUUUCUUGUGAAAUGAUCCGACAAACCACAAUUGAAACAUUUCUUUUUAUUGGGGAGAGGACACUGUGGAGAAAGGUGUCCCAUUUGUCCACAAUUAUAACAUUUACUAUUAAAACAUACCCAUUUAUGUUUUUCUCCAUAGGUAUAACAAGGUUUAAUGUUAUUAUUACUAAAGUUACUAUUGUUAUUACCUAUAUUUUUUCCCGUGUUAUUGGAAAAAGUAGUAUACCAUUUCUGUUUAUUAUUAAACCCACCUAAAUUGGGUUCAGUCUUAAGUUUCCCUUUCUCAUUUUGACUCUUCUUUUUCUGAUAAAAUUUAAUGAGACUUUCGUUUUCACUUUCAGCUAUAGAAGCUUUCUCGAGUAUUUCUGAAAAAGUCUUUAUUUGGAGUACCGAUAAUUUACUUCGUAUCUGAGGUUUCAAACCUUCUUGAUACCUCUGAGUCUUUCUAAGUUCAAUAUUGACUUGGUGAGGAGCAAACCUGGACAGUUCGUUGAACUUGGCUGUAUACUGAGAUACAGUCUCCUUGUUUUAAUUCUAGAAAUUUUACUUCCAUAUGAUCUUUCAAAGAUUGAGAAAAAUAGUUUUCAAAGAACAAAUCUUUGAAUUUAUCCGAAGGUACAAUUUUAGUUUCUACCCGACACUUAGGUGAUUCCCACCAAUCAGGUCUCUUUGUUUUAAUUCUAGAAAUUAUACUUUCAUACGAUCUUUCAAAGACUGAGGAAAAUAGUUUUCAAAGAAAAAUUCUUUGAAUCUAUCCCAAGGUACAAUUUCAGUUUCUACUUGACCCUUAGUUGAUUCCCACCAGUAAUUAGUCUCACCUUUCAAGAAAAAGGUUGCAAAAUUCGUCUUUUGAUUAUUAUUGACAUUGGUUACUAGAAAAAAAAUUUCUAUUUCAGUAAUCCAAAUUUUUGCAUCGACAGGUUCAGUUGUACCUUUGAACUCAGGUGGACCAACUAAUUUAAAAUCUUUAAAGGAAGUGUUUUGGGUGGUUGGUCUAUUCAUAGCACCUAACAAAAGUUCUACUAAAUUUUGGGCAGGAUUAUCAUCAUUAUUUAUCUCUCGUUGGGGUUUUCUGGUUGGUAGCAUGAUUCUAUAUAAAAUAACAAGAAAAAUCCUCAUAAGAAUUUGAAUAAUACAAACAUAUCUUUUAUUCAUAUAUCACAAGAGUCAUACAAAACGACUUAGUAGUUUACACAUACUACUAGUUCUAUUACAAACUUUAAAUGUUCCUUUAUUCAUACUAUUAUAGAGCAUUUAGACUUCUAUACUACCCUCUUGAACUCAUUAACAUCAUCGAAGGAAUCUUAGAUUAUGUGGCAUACAACAGAUCGAUCUAUCAGAUAGGCAGUUUUCUUCUCCUCCACCGGAUAUCGAAGUACUCGACGCUGCAAAUCGUUGAAAACAUCUCGAGUACCCAGAGUAGAUUUGAGAAGCCUUGACAGUAUUUUUUUCCUGCCCCUUUGUGCAUGGUGCAGUUGUACUUUUAGUCGAUUAUUGGUUCCCCUUUCAUGCUUUAACAUUCCCUCAACUAAGUGUGCCCUAAACUGCAUUUUAUUAUUCUCAUAUUCAGAAGUCUUCAUUAGUAAUGUCAUUGCUUCAUCAUGUUCAUCAAUUCUCAUUAAUUGCCCUGCUACUGGAUCUUCCUCUUCCUCAGCAUCUAGCAGUUGUUGAUCACGAAGCAAUUCUUCAUCCUCUGCAUCACUAGCUAUAAAUGACUCAAUUUGUGGUGGAUUGUUUAGUACUAUCACCAUUUCUUCAGCACUGGAGUUAGCCAUCUUUAAAAUAAAAAUUCCUUUAAUACUGGUAUGGAAAUUUACACAACACAAUAUUGUUUUUAUGUUAUUUUUAUGUGUACUUUAAAAUUUUUACGGACUCGAAUACUAUAUACUAAGAUUUCUCUUCCUUAUAUCUAUAGCCUUAACAGCUCUGAUACCAUUAAUGUAACACCCCCAUAUCUAUACAUCCACUGUAUCCGAUAUGGUGCUUACUACAAGUCAAUAUAUAUAACGCAUUCAAAUCUAUACACACAUGGUAUCCGAUUAAAUGCUUAUAUCUAAUUGAGUGACUAUACAAUUUAUAACCAGAUAUAAUUUCCAUAGAUUCAAGAUUCAUAACAUCCCAUAACAGAUAACAAUUCUCAAGAGAACUAUUGGUGUGUUUGGAUACCCUCACAUGGAUAUAUGAACUAUAUCUGUGAAUAGUAUAUAUCUAUCCGAAGUUCAGAGUAUCAGUAAUAACAUGAACAGUCCAUAUUACCAAUACCCUCACUCAGAUGUAUAGUCUAUGUCAUGUGAAUUACACUAUCGUAUCGAUAGUACCUAUUUAUCCAAAAUUCAGAGUAUUAACAACAUGAACAGUCCAUGUUAUCAAUACCCUCACUCAGAUAAAUAGUUCCCAAGGAUCUCAACUAAUUUGAACAUUCUAAUUACAUCUAUAUAUGUAAGAAAACACGGUUGCAGAAAUAAAAAAUAUUAUAUAUCAUAAAUAUUAAGGUUUGAUUACAUGAUUCUUCAUAAAGAAUUUCUUAUUACAAAGUAUUCAACCUGACAGGAAUACAAGCUAAUCUAAGCAAGGACGGUUCCCUUUAUCUACUCCAGAUGUGUCAGGGUUAUUAUCUAAUACUGUAAAGGGAAUAAUUUGCAAGGGUGAGCUAUGACAUUCUCAGCAGGCACUUUAUUUAUAACAAUAUAUGAUUUGAAAAAGUAUAACAAUUUAAAAUUUAACUGAUAGUUGCUACCAUUUCUGGAAUUUCUUUUUUAACCAUUUCUAGACUUUUUAUUUCUGUCAGUCACACAGACUUAGAAACUUUGUUUAGAUAUGAGAUAGGGGAUCAGUCUACUCAAUAUCCUAGGAGUAUGUAUCUCAUCCUAUUAGUGCUCAUAUGCACCCAAAUGUCUUGCUUUGGUAAGACAUCUUAUCCUAAAGUUGUGUAUCCCGUAAGGGAUCGAGAUUUGGUCAAUAAUAUAUUGACAUUUGGGUGCAUAUGAGCACUAGUAGGAUGAGAUGCAUACUCCUAGGAUAUUGAGUAGGUUGAUCCCCUAUCUCAUAUCUAAACAAGGUUUUUAAGUCUGUGUGACUGAUCACAAAAAUAAAAAGUCCAGAAAUGGUUGAAAAAGAAAUUUCAGAAAUGGUAGCAACUAUCAGUUAAAUUUUGAAUUGUUAUACUUCUUCAAAUCAUAUAUUGUUAUAAAUAUAAAGCCUACUGAGCAUGUCAUAGCUCACCCUUCCAAAUUAUUCCCUUUGCAGUAUUAGAUGGUAACCCUGGCACAUCUGGAGUAGCUAAAGGGAAGCGUCCUUGCUUUAAUUAGCUUAUAUUCCUGUUUGGUUGAAUACUUUGUAAUAAUUAAGAAAUUAUUUAUGAAGAAUCAUGUAAUCGAAUCUUAAUAUUUAUGAUAUAUAACAUCUUUUAUUUCCGCAACCGUGUUUUCUUACAUAUAUAGAUGUAAUUAGAAUCUUCAAAUUAGUUGAGAUCAUUGGGAACUAUUUAUCUGAGUGAGGGUAUUGAUAACAUGGACUGUUCAUGUUGUUGUUAAUACUCUGGAUUUUGGAUAAAUAGGUAUUAUCGAUACAAUAGUGUAAUUCGCAUGACAUAGACUAUACAUCUGAGUGAGGCAAUUGGUAAUAUGGACUGUUCAUGUUAUUACUAAUACUCUGAACUUCGGAUAGAUAGAUACUAUUCACAGCUACAGUUCAUAUAUCCAAGUGAGGGUAUCCAAACACAGCAAUAGUCCUCUUGAGAAUUGUUAUCUGUUAUGGGAUACUGUGAAUCUUGGAUCUAUGGGAAUUAUAUCUGAUUAUAAAUUGUAUAGUCACUCAAUUAGAUAUAAGAAUUUAAUCGGAUACCAUGGGUGUAUAGAUUCUAAUGUGUUAUAUAUAUUGACUUGUAGUAAGCACCAUAUCGGAUACCAUGGGUGUAUAGAUAUGGGGGCGUUACAUUAAUGGUAUCAAAGUUGUUAAGGCUAUAGAUAUAAGGAAGAGAAUCUUAGUAUAUAUUAUUCGAGUCCGUAAAAAUUUUAAAGUACACAUAAAAAUAACAUUAAAAAUAAUAUUAUGUUAUUUUUCAUACCAGUAUUAAAGGUGUUUUAAUUUUAUAGAUGGACAACUCCAGUGCUAAACAAAUGGUGAUAGUAAAUAAUCCACCACAAAUUGAGUCAUUUAUAGCUAGUGAUGCAGAGGAUGAAGAAUUGCUUCAUGAUCAACAACUGUUAGAUGCUGAGGAAUAGGAAGAUCCAGUAGCAGGGCAAUUAAAUGAGAAUUGAUGAACAUGAUGAAUGGCAUCACUAAUGAAGACUUCUAAAUAUGAGAAUAAUAAAAUGCAGUUUAUGGCACACUUAGCUGAGAGAAUGUUAGAUCAUGAAAGAGGAACUAAUAAUCAACUGAAACUACAAUUGCACCGUGCAAAAAGGGGCAGGAAGGAAAUACAGUUAAGGCUUCUCCAAUCUGCUCUGGGUACUCGACAUGUUUUCAAUGUUUCCAGCGCCAAGUAGUUCGAUAUCCAGUGGAAGAUAAGAAAAAUGCCUAUCUGAUAGAUCAAUCUGUGGUAUGCCAUAUGAUCCAGGUACAACUGAACCUGUCGAUGCACAGAUUUGGAUUACUAAAAUAAAAACAAUUUCCUAGUAACCAAUGUCAAUAAUAAUCAAAAGAUGACUUUUGCAACCUUUUUCUUGAAAGCUGAGGCUAAUUACUGGUGGGAAUCAACUAAGGGUAGGGUAGAAACUGAAAUUGUACCUUGCGAUAGAUUCAAAGAAUUGUUCUUUGAAAACUAUUUUUCUUAGUCUUUGAAAGAUCGUAUGGAAGUAAAAUUUUUAGAAUUAAAACAAAAAGACCUGAUUGUAUCUCAGUAUACAGCCAAGUUCAACGAACUGUCCAGGUUUGCUCCUCACCAAGUCAAUACUGAACUUAGAAAGACUCGGAGGUAUCAAGAAGGUUUGAAACCUCAGAUACGAAGUAAAUUAUUGGUACUCCAAAUAAAGACUUUUUCAGAAAUACUCGAGAAAGCUUCUAUAGCUGAAAGUGAAAAUGAAAGUCUCAUUAAAUUUUAUCAGGAAAAGAAGAGUCAAAAUGAGAAAGGGAAACUUAAAACUGAACCCAGUUCAGGUGGGUUUAAUAAUAAACGGAAAUGGGAUACUAUUUUUUCCAACAACCCGAGGAAAAAGAUAGGUAAUAACAAUAAUAACUUUAGUAAUAAUAACAUUAAACCUUGUUCUACCUGUGGAGGAAAACAUAAAGGGGUAUGUUUUAAAAGUAAAUGUUACAAUUAUAGACAAAUGGGACACCUUUCACCAUAGUGUCCUCUCCCUAAUAAAAAUAAAUGUUUCAAUUGUGGUUCGUCGGAUAAUUUCGCAAGGAAUUGUCCCAAACCUAAGAACCAGGUAGGAGAGGGAAUAGAGUACCGAAGAAUAACAAUAAUCAGUCAACAGUAGUUGCAGGCGAAGUUCAGAGUCAACCAGUCGCGAGAACAUUUAAUAUGUCAAUGAGGGAUGUUGUUGCUUCAAAGGAAGUGGUGACAGGUAUCAUCCCUAUCAACACUUUAAAUGCAUGUGUGUUAUUCAAUUAUGGUGCUACUUGUUCCUUUGUGUCUCAUAGUUUUUCUAAAAACCUGAAUAUACCAUGUGAAAAUUUAGACAAACCAUUUUGUAUUAAAAUUGCAAACAACAAAAAGAUUCCGGUUAAAACCAUAUAUAGGAACUGAAGUGUGGAGAUUGAAGGACUUAAUUUUCUAGUAGAUCUUAUUCCAAUUCAGUUGGGAGAAUUCGAUGUAAUCUUAGGAAUGGAUUGGUUGGUUAACCAUAAUGCGAUGAUUGAUUGUCAUCAAAAACAUAUAAACCUUUUGACUGCAUCAAAGUCAAAGGUAGUGUUCAACGGAAGUUGUUCACCUAAGCAAUCUAGAUUCUUGACCAUAACUCAGGCAGAAAGGUUACUUAGAAAAGGUUGUUCAGGAUAUUUGGCCUAUAUAGUUGAUACUCGACAGGAAGGAGAGAAAUUAGAUCAAAUACCUGUAGUUAAAGAUCUUCUCGAUGUAUUUUCGGAUGACUUACCAGGUUUACCUCCAGAUAGGGUAAUUGAGUUUGUCAUUGAUCUUCCACCGGGAACGACACCAGUUUCUAAGGCACCGUACAGAAUGGCACCUGUAGAACAGAAAGAGUUACUAGUACAAUUAUAAGAACUCUUAGAUAAAAAGUACAUACAACCUAGUGUUUCACCCUGGGGAACACCAUUAUUAUUUGUAAAGAAAAAGGAUGGAACCAUAAGAUUAUGUAUAGAUUAUAGAGAAUUAAAUAAAUUAAACAUUAAGAAUAAAUAUCCUUUACCAAGGAUAGAUGAUUUGUUUGACCAAUUAAAAGGGGCCGAACACUUUUCAAAGAUUGACCUUAGAACAGGUUAUCAUCGGUUAAAGUUAAGAAAGGAAGAUGUGCCAAAAACAGCGUUCAGGACUCGCUAUGGACAUUAUGAGUUUCUUGUAAUGUCUUUUGGAUUGACAAAUGCACCAGCAUUUAUGGAUUUAAUGAAUCGAGUGUUUAAACCAUGCUUGGACAAUUUGUUGUAGUGUUUAUCGACGAUAUUCUGGUAUACUCGAAAACACAUGAAGAGCAUGUUGAACACUUGAGAGUUAUUUUAGAGAUAUUACGAAAGGAACAACUUUAUACGAAGUUUUCGAAGUGUGAAUUCUGGUUAAAGAGUUCAAUUUUUAGGUCAUGUAAUUGACAAAGAUGGAAUAUCGGUAGAUCCGACUAAGAUCGAAAUGGUGGUGAAUUGGGAACAACCAACAACUCCAACAGAAGUAAGAAGUUUUCUCGGUUUAGCGGGUUAUUAUCGACGGUUUAUAAAAGAUUUUUCAAAAAUAGCAACCCCACUAACCAAUUUAACUCAAAAGACGGUAAAAUACGUCUGGACAGAUAAAUGUGAAGAGAGCUUCCAAGAGUUAAAGAAGCGAUUAAGCAUGGCUCUAGUGUUGUACUUACCAGAUGAUAUAGGAGGCCUUGUAGUUUUUUAGUGAUGCGUCACAUAGAGGUUUAGGGUGUGUGUUGAUGCAACAUGGGAAAGUGAUUGCUUAUGCAUCACGACAACACAAAGAUUAUGAGAAGAGGUAUCCUACUCAUGACCUAAUGUUAGCUGCGGUAGUCUUUGCUCUAAAAAUUUGGAGACAUUACUUGUACGGGGAGAAAUGCAAGAUAUAUACAUAUCAUAAAAGUCUGAAGUAUAUUUUUACACAAAACAAACUGAACUUAAGACAGCGAAGAUGGUUAGAAUUGAUAAAGGAUUUUGAUUGUGAAAUCUUAUAUCAUCCCGGUAAAACUAAUGUCGAAGCUGAUGCGUUAAGUAGAAAGAAUCAAGAAAAGUUGAACGUAAUAACCACCGAUGAUAGGUUAAUAAAAGAUUUUGAAAAAUUAGAAAUUGAGGUGGAAUGUCCAACUACCUCUACCCAAAAGUUAUUCAUUCUAGAGGGAGUUUCAUCUCUACUUGAUAUAAUCAAAGAGAUGCAGGAAAAGGAUGAUGAAUGUCAGAAAUAUAAGUCUAAUAUAACUCAUAUUAAGAAUAACAAAUUCAAAAUAGACAAGGAUGGAAUAGUAAGAUAUGAAGAUAGAAUUUAGGUUCCGUUAAACCAAACAUUAAAAGACGAAAUCUUAAACGAAGCUCAUAAUUCUAAAUUUACCAUACAUCCUUGCAGUACUAGAAUGUACAAAGACUUAAGUCAACACUUUUGGUGGUCGAAUAUGAAAAGAGAAAUAGCUGAAUGGGUAAGUAAAUGUCUCACGCGUCAAAGGGUUAAAGCUGAACACAAAAAGCCGAGUGGAUUACUUCAACCCUUAACAAUUCCUGAGUGGAAGUGGGAACAUAUAACCAUGGACUUUGUGGUAGGCCUUCCAGGUACACAGAAGGGACAGGAUGCCAUUUGGGUAAUAGUUGACCGUUUAACCAAAUCAGCUCACUUUUUACCUAUUAAAGUUACCCAUAACUUAGACCACCUUGCCAAGCUAUAUAUUAAUAAAAUCAUCUCUAGGCAUGGAGUACCUAUUUCUAUAGUAUCGGAUCGAGAUUCACGUUUUACUUCAAAUUUUUAGAAGAGCCUUCAAAAACAUUUAGGAACACAAUUAAGAUUGAGUACAGCUUAUCACCCUCAAACGAAUGGGCAAAGUGAGAGGAAAUCUAGAACACCCUUGUGCUGGGAUGAGGUCGGGGAAAGACAAAUGUUAGGACCUGAGAUCAUUCAACAAACUACUGAAACCAUCAGAAUUAUACGUGAGCAAUUACAAGCAUCUCAAGAUCGACAGAGGAAAUAUGCUGAUCCACAUCGUAAACAACAAAACUUUAGCGUAGGAAGCCACGUAUUCUUGAAAGUAUCUCCUUGGAGGGGUAAGAUACAUUUUGGCAAGAAAGGAAAACUGAGUCCGAGAUUUAUUGGACCUUUUAAAAUUUUGAGGAGGAUAGGUGAAGUUGUUUAUGAAAUAGUACCACCUCCUGAGUUAAACCAUAUUCAUAAUGUGUUUCAUGUGUCCGUAUUACAACCAUACAAACCUUAUUAUAAACACGUUAUAAAUUAUGAGCCAAUCCAAAUCGAAGAAGAUCUUUCUUAUGUAGAAGAACCUGUGCAGAUUGUCGAUCGUAAAGAGCAAGUCCUGAGGAAUAAAGUGAUAGCAUCGGUCAAAGUGAUCUGGAAGAAUCAGAAUGUUGAAGAGGCUACAUGGGAGCUCGAAGAUAAAAUGCGAGAGAACUAUCCCCAACUGUUUACUUAACCUGUACUGUAAUUUCGAGGACGAAAUUCUUAUUAGUGGGGGUGAAUGUAAAGCCCCAAAACCCUAAUAAGACUCAGAUAUGUAAAUUCAGUUAUAUUAAUAAAAUCUCUCUGUUUUGAAAGUGUUAUGUGUUAAUAUAUACUCUGUUAAACAAAUUUGGUCAAAUAAAUUGACGGGCUUGACACCUCGUGCUUAAAAAUUUUCUUUCGAAAAUGGACUUUUUGGUAUAUUUAUUUUGACAAGCUGCUUUGUCGUGCUUACACUGACAAAAUGCCUUGUCGUGCUUGUUAGAAUUUAUGUAAAAUCUAGGUUAGAAACCCUAGAUUAAAAAUCCUAACCCUAAUUUGUAAAUCCUAACCCUAAUUAGUUAAACUAAACCCUAUUCUAACACCUAAUCAUGAUUAAUAAACUUCAAUUAGGUACUAAUAAACAACAUUAAGCAACCUUAAUCAUUAAAAAUAAAACCCUAAUCAAGAUUACUGAGGAUUAGGGAAUUAUUAAGCUACUAAUUUAGUUAACUAGCUCACAAGUAGGUUGAGAGUCAUCCACACAAGUCCCAAAAUAUCACAUGACAUGCUUCCAAACUCCCAAGCACCAGAAGAGUCAUAGAUCAGAUCUUUUAGGAGGCAAGUAGGUGGAAAAUGUCCAAAAAGCCAAGUUAAAAAAUUUAUAAAAGUUCUAGCUCGGAGCAAACCCACGAAAAUUAUAAGCCAAUACACUCAUAUAACCUGCCUAUACAAGCCCUGGUGAUAGCAAUAACAGAUUCAAUAGCCAGAAAUCAAAAAUCAAACAAGAAAGGUACAAACCUUAAUUCAUAGCUAGAUCUUUGAUGCUUUGUUCAAAUUGUUGUUUAGAUGUUUAGAUAUAUGUAAUAACAUGUUAGAAAGUAUGCUAAGUUAAUAGAACAUGUUUUCAUAACAUCUAGAUGCCUCAAAUUAGUGUUUUAAGCAAUCUGGAAAUUUUGAAAAAAUAAGCCUGACAGUCGAAUGUCAGAGCUUGUAGAUUCAUGUAUGUUAAUAAUUAGGUCUGUUAAUUGUGUGUUAUUUGUAGUAUGACAUGAGGUCUUUAUUAUGAAAAAGAAAAUAGGUUUAUUAGAACCAUAUAUUGCAAGAUAUAGGUUAUCAAAGGUGGUUGACCGAUCACGAAGUUCUAUUUUUUGGGUUACCCAGAAAACUCAAGAACAGAUUGAACCGGCUACUUUGACCAGCCUUUUAAUCGCUUUCUGUUUGUUAUUUUAAUAACUUUUUGUAAUAAAUUAAUACCUUGAUAUACAUAUUACAUAUCUAUGACCUUAAAUUGCUUAAACAGUUCAUAGGAUUAUUGGAAUUAAUGGUCAAAAGUCGUUGACCGAGCUUGACCAAGUUUUAUGGGUUACCCAGAAAACUGAUGAACAUGAAGAACAGCCUUUGGCUGUACUUUGACCAAAAUAGAUUGAGACCUUAGAAUCACGCUUGGUCCAAACCAGUGUUAUAUAUAUGUACCUUGACAUAUAGACUACCUAUUACAACAAACACAACACAAAUCUAUUACACAGAUUCAAAGAUAAGAAAGCUACAAAAUCGAUAACCGACCAUGACAACUAUUCUGGGUUACCCAGAAACUCAAGAACAGCUCUGAUAGUGACUUUGAGCCUCUAUAACUUCUUGUUAUAUGUAGGUUAAAGCACAAAAUUUGUCUGAUGUUGUACUACUGUAUGAGUACUAUAACAUCCAUACUUGUCCAAACCCAGAAUCAUUAACAGUAGCAAAGUAGAUCAAGGUCAAAGUGGUCCCUAGACUAUGACCGACUGAAACCCAGAAAUUCAAGAACACAUAUAACGACACUUCCUGUCACUAUAGGGCUUUAGCGACAAACAGAAAUUAUUUUUUAGAAAUUAAUUAAUAAAAAAUAGAAAUAAUUAAUAAAUAAAUACAAAAAUAGUUUUAAAAAUUAUAUUAAGUUAUUAUAAUUAACUUUUGAUAUUUUUACAUAAAUUCAAUAAAUAUUUUAUUUUAUUUGGAUAUUAUUAAUAAUUAAGUUAAUAAUAAAAUAAUUAGAAUAAUUACUUAUAAAUAAUAAAUAAUUAUUGAAAAAUAAUAUUAAUGAUUUAAAAAUCAUAAUAAAUGGUUAUAAAUUAUUUAAAAAUAGUAAACAAGGUUUUUAUAAAAUUCUAAGUAAAUAAAUGAUUUAAAAAUUAUUUAAGGGAUAAAUAAAUACUUAAAAAUUAUUAUAAACUUUUAGAAAUUAUUAUAAAGGAUAUUUAAAUUAUCUAAAAAUAUACUCCCUCCGUCCCAGGAUAAAUGUCAUUAAAUAUGGAGAGAGAAUUAGAAUAAAAAAGUAUGAGAUAUUUAAUGCUACGGGUAUAAUAGAAAAAUAUGUGAAAGUUUGGUUAUUAAAGAAAAAUGGACAUUUAACAUGGGACUACCCAAAAUAGUAAUAAGAACUUUUAUCAUGGGACGGAGGGAGUAAUAAAGCUCAUAAAUAGAUUUUAGUCGAUAUAUCAUCUUAUUUAAUAUUUGGUAAAGUCUUUGGGCACCGAAAACCAUAUCAAACUUAACCCGAACAUAUGUAGAUUAUGUAUUUGAGUAUUGUUAUCAAUACUAAUGUGUUAGAUUUAUAUGAAUGAACAUCUUAGGUGUUUAUUAACGAAUCGAGUAGCAUUGCUUGACUGAUCUUCGCUCAGGCAAGUUCCCUACCCUAAAUUACUUAUGCAAGUUCUCUAUCCUUAAAUCUCUUAUCAAGCAAGUUCCCUAAACCCAAAUUAUUACUUAUGUAAAUUUCUCAAACCCUGUUAAUUCGUUGAACAAGAUUUUAAAUCUUAAAUUAUUGUUGAUAUGAUAUACCAAACCUAAACUUAAAUCACCACUUAUUGUAAUGUUAUUGCUAUAGCUUCAGCAUCACUAAGAAAUGAAUUGUUUAUUCCUAUGAUGUUGUUUAUUGAGCAUAAACUAUUGUGUCAAACCAAAUUACUUUGGUAAGAUAUCAUAUCCUGAAGUUGUGUAUCCCGUAAGGGAUCGAGAUUUGGUCAAUAAUAUAUUGACAUUUGGGUGCAUAUGAGCACUAGUAGGAUGAGAUGCAUACUCCUAGGAUAUUGAGUAGGCUGAUCCCCUAUCUCAUAUCUAAACAAAGUUUCUAAGUCUGUGUGACUGAUCACAGAAAUAAAAAGUCCAGAAAUGAUUGAAAAAGAAAUUUCAGAAAUGGUAGCAACUAUCAGUUAAAUUUUGAAUUUUUAUACUUCUUCAAAUCAUAUAUUGUUAUAAAUAUAGAGCCUACUGAGCAUGUCAUAGCUCACCCUUGCAAAUUAUUCCCUUUGCAGUAUUAGAUGGUAACCCUGGCACAUCUGGAGUAGAUAAAUGGAAGCGUUCCUGCUUUAAUUAGCUUAUAUUCCUGUCUGGUUGAAUACUUUGUAAUAAGAAAUUCUUUAUGAAGAAUCAUGUAAUCGAAUCUUAAUAUUUAUGAUAUAUAACAUCUUUUAUUUUCGCAACCGUAUUUUCUUACAUAUAUAGAUGUAAUUAGAAUCUUCAAAUUAGUUGAGAUCCUUGGGAACUAUUUAUCUGAGUGAGGGUAUUGAUAACAUGGACUGUUCAUGUUAUUGUUAAUACUCUGGAUUUUGGAUAAAUAGGUAUUAUCGAUACAAUAGUGUAAUUCGCAUGACAUAGACUAUACAUCUGAGUGAGGGUAUUGGUAAUAUGGACUGUUCAUGUUAUUACUGAUACUCUGAACUUCGGAUAGAUAGAUAUUAUUCACAGUUACAGUUCAUAUAUCCAAGUGAGGGUAUCCAAACGCAGCAAUAGUUCUCUUGAGAAUUGUUAUUUGUUAUGGGAUACUGUGAAUCUUGGAUCUAUGAGAAUUAUAUCUGGUUAUAAAUUGUAUAGUCACUCAAUUAGAUAUAAGAAUUUAAUCGGAUACCAUGGGUGUAUAGAUUUGAAUGCGUUAUAUAUAUUGACUUUUAGUAAGCACCAUAUUGAAUAUUGUGGGUGUAUAUAUAUGGCGGCGUUACAAUGGCUUAAUGAAAAGGAAAAUUGUUCCACGGUUUUUGGAGCUUGUAUAUUCUCAGUAGGGAGGAUUUUGUGGAGAUAGCUCAUAGCUUGUUGUUGAGUAAUGUUAAUUUUAGACCUGGAAAAAUUGGCCCAAGUCCGCAAGCCGGGUCGGGCUGGCUCGUAAAAAUUGGGCUUUGGGCUUAACUUUUUUAGUCAAUGAAAACUUGGGCCAUUAGCCAAAUUUAGCCCAGCCCGGCCCGGGGGCUAUUUUUUUAGCAAAAUGAUGCUCUACUUGAGAAUCGAACUUUAGACCUCCCCCACUUCUUAAACAAAUGCUCAAACCAACUGAGCUAUAAGAGUUUUUUAUUCUAAAGUCACUACAUACCUUACUACAUCUCUUUUUAAUACUUAUUGUUUUAUUCAAUUAUAUUUUCAUCCAUUUUAUUUUCUACUACUAUUGUACGCACGAGGGGUGCACGCUCCUAUUAAUAUGACGUUCUUUCUUCUUUGUCCAUCCAUAAAACUCUAAAUAAUUACAUUUAUGCCACAUGUUCAUCCCUUGAAAAUUAAAAUUACUACUCCAUUUUUCUUAUUCGAUGUAAUUUGGACCAGAACUAUUGUUGGGCUAAAGGAAAUUAAAAUAUCCCGAAUCUCAUUAAAAAAAAAUUGUUUGUAAAGAAAAUUCGAUUGAAUAAAAAUAUAGUUUCAAAAUGUGUAACAAAAAAUAUUAAGUCCCGUGUUGAGUUUUUAAAUAAUCGAGUUCAAUUAAAAUUUAAAUAUUACUUUUUGUCUCUAACUUAACUAGUCUAUUCUUGUGAGUUGGGACGGCUAACUCUACCGGCCUUGAAUUUGAUUAUUAUUAUUUUUACCUCUGGCACAUUUUCUCAAUUAGAUGAUAUUUUUAUUCACAUCAAAAUAUAUAGUAAAUUUGUUUUGUUUUGGGUGAGACAUGGUAGAGACAAUGAUGUAAUUAGUUUAAGAAUAUUUUUGCCAAACUAUUAAAUUAUAUAUGAAUGUGAUUUCAUUCAAAAAAAAUUGUGAUAUUUGCAUUUUUCAGUCAAAAAGUAAAGUUUAUUUUCAAACAAAAAGUAUUAAAAAGAGAUGUAGUAUGGUAUAGAGUGACUUUAGAAUAAAAAAAAUCUUGUAGCUUAAUUGGUUUGAGUAUUUGUUUAAGGAAUGAUGGAGGUCUAUAAUCCAAUUCUCAAGGAGUACUUAUUAAACUACGAUUUGGCCCGACCUGGCCCAAUCAACCCGAGCCACGACCCUCAUAUUUUUAGCCCAAAAAAAAACUAGGCCAUUUUGGCCCGACCAACUGACAGCCCGUCCCGUUUGGGCUGGCUCGGCCCGUUUGCUAGGUCUAGUUAAUUUUAGGGUCCUUAACACUAAUAUACAACAAUUAGAAAGUAAUACAAAAAUAAAACAUUCACAAAAUAAUUACAAAAAUAACGCAAUUCACAUUAAUAAGAAAACCUAAAAUCAAGAAAAAAUAACUGCCAUAAUUAAUAAUUUAAAUUCAAAUAUCUGGGAUCUAACAACAAAAACAAAUUCAAAUUCAAAAUUAAAUAAUAAUUCAAAUUCAAAUCUUCAUCUCCCUCACAGUAUCCCUCUCUUCCGCCGCGAAUCUCCUUCUUCACAAGUUGCAUCAAGAUAAAAUGCAAAGAAACAUAAGAUUUCUGAAAGUACAAAUACUAAACAAUACGAUUGGACUGUUGACACUACCUAAGCGAUUAAUUUCUUACAAAUACAAUUUAUGUGUCUUCAACACCUCUUGCUUUAUUGUGUUGAAACCCACCCUUAAUUCCUUAGUUGUUUCAUCACUUCAUGUCAAAAUAAAUAAACCGUGAAACAUAUAUAUAUAUAUAUAUAUAUAUAUAUAUAUAUAUAUAUAGAAAAUGACCUGUGGAAUACGUUAGCUAUUAACCCUGUUUCAACUAACGCUCAUCCAACCAUCUAAAAUUGGAGUUAAUGGCUAAGAUGAGCGCCCAGCCGCUAGAGGGAGUAGCGGUCAACAAAUUUCUUUUAUGCUGGCCGCUACUCCCUCUAGUGGCCAGUCAAAACGACCGUGUUUUGACUGGCCGCUAGAGGGAGUAGCAGCCAACAUAAAAGAAUUUGGCUUAAUUACUGAUUAUCUUAAUUAUUCUCGUACAUAUACACUACUUAUUAAUCAUUAAAAUAAAAUAAUAAAUAAUUAUAAGGAUAAUCAGUAAUUAUUUUUAUACUUAUCCUUAUACUUAUUAACAAAAUAUACUACUCAAAUAUAUAAGGAUAAUAAAUAAUUAUAAGGAUAAUAGUAAUUGAAUUUAUAUUAUAUUCCUACUCAAAUAUAUAAACUCAAUCACUAUUUUCUAUUUAUAAUUAAAAAUCAUAAAACAAUAAUCAGUAAUUAUUCUUAUACAUACUUAUUUUGUUAAUAAGUAUAAGGAUAAGUAUAAAGAUAAUUACUGAUUAUCCUUAUAAUUAUCCUUAUAAUUAUUUAUUAUUUUAUUUUAAUGAUUAAUAAGUAGUAUAUAUGUACAAUAAUAAUUAGGAUAAUCAGUAAUUAAGCCAAAUUCUUUUAUGUUGAUUGGUCGCUACUCCCUCUAGCGGCCAGUCAAAACACGGUCGUUUUGACUGGCCACUAGAGGGAGUAGCGGCCAGCAUAAAAGAAAUUUGUAGGGGCGGCCAGUCAAAACACGGUCAUUUUGACUGGCCGCUAGAGGGAGUAGCGGGCAGCAUAAAAGAAAUUUGUUGGCCGCUACUCCCUCUAGCGGCUGGGCGCUCAUCUCAGCCAUUAACUCCAAUUUUAGACGGCUGGAUGAGCGUUAGUUGAAACAGGAUUAAUAGCUAACGUAUUCCACAGAUCAUUUCCCUAUAUAUAUAUAUAUAUAUAUAUAUAUAUAUAUAUACACACACACACACACACUCACUCACUCACAUAAACUCACAAUUCAUAGACAUGAUAGUUGAUGCAAACCUGUAGUGAUCCAGACUGAAAAUCUAAGAAGCCCUUGUAGUUAAGUUCUUUCUUUUUCCAUCUCCGAUACUUAGAUUCUGAAAAUGUCUGAAGUUCUUCCACCUUCUUCCUUGAAUCAGUCAAAAGACCCUCUAGCUCCAUUAUCUUCUUCUCUAGUUCAACAGUAGCUUUGGUUACCUUGGUGUGAAGGUUUGGUUACCAACUGCACUAUGAAAAAUCUGAAGGUGUAGAGGUGGAUUGGUUACCUUGGUAUGACAGUUUGGUUACCUUGGUAUGAAUGUUUGGUUACCAAUCUCUUCUAUUAGUUGCUAAUUUUGGAUCAAAUCCAAUAAUCAAGGUAAGCAUUGGGACGAAUAUGCCACCACCACCAACACCGCCUACACUUUUAAAUGCAGCUCCACAGAAUCCAAUUACAGAACCGAUAACAAUUUGCCAAUUAAAUUUCAUUUUCGGCCAAACAUGUUGGUAACCUGAUUGAUAUGUCUAAACUUAUUUCAAACAAAUAUAACAUAUACUAAUAUAUAGAAAUUUUGGACCGUGUGUGACCGGUUCGGGUUCGGUCGAGCAGAGAAAUGAACUUUUUGAAUUUGUUCACUGCCAUAUCUGUUACAGCUCUGUAAUCGGUAUUGCUGGAAUCCAUGGAGGUUGAGGAAGAAGAUGAGUGAUUUGUUGGGUUUUGGGUGUGAAAUUGUUGGGAGGAGUGAGAAAGAACCCUGAUGAGAUUCUCGACGCUCUGAAUUCCGGCGGUGGCAGCUUCUUGGACGAUGGUUUCUUCCAUUUUGGCACCAAAAUUGUAACCACUGCUCAUCAGGUCAACAAUCAUUUUUGAAAAAUACCAUCAAGGCAUUAACUAAGGAAAAGAAAAGGACUUUGAAGCUGAAAUAGUUUUGUAAAGAGAGAAUGGGUAUUGGGAGUCAAAACAGAUGAUGUGGCGAAAAGUAAGGAAAAGCAAAACAGAUCUUCGCGUACAAUUAACUAAGGAAAAUCAAAGGACUGUGUAUUAGUGUUAUAUGAAGGACACGAGAUCUUCGCUUCGAUGAAGGACAAAACUAACUACUUGAAUACUAAUCCCUUAAAUUAAAGAAUCCUAAUUACACUAAUAUUGUAAAUAAAUAUGGGAAAAUGUAUUACUUUUGUAAUUAUUUUAUGGAUACCAUUAUUAUAAUUAUUUUUAAAAAUGUACUAAAAUAUGUAAUUAAUCCUUAAUUUUAUGGGUUGAAGAAGAAUUGCCUGAAGGGUUUCUUGAAAAAGUGGGAGAUAGAGGGUUGGUUUUGUAGGGAUGGGCUCUAUCAAACAUUGUAAGUUGUAAUCUUGCCUUCUUAUGGGUUUGUCAAAUAUCAAGUCCUAAGGAUAGGCUAGUUAGUCGUGUAGGACUCUUUUAUUCAAAGUAGCAGAAAUGAUUCUGGGCUACAUGAAUGCUUGGUCAAUAAUUUGUACUAUUAUGAAGAGAGAAAAAUGUAUGUGUUCACAUUUUUAUAUUUAAUUUGGCUAUAUAAGCCAUGCAUUGUACUACAUUUUAGAUGAUCCGGAAAUCUAAUACUUCUUCGGUUCCCUUUUAUAUGACGUUUUAGGAUAAUUUUUUUGUUCCUAAAUAUUUGACGUUCUAGAAUUUCUAGGAGAAUUAGUUUUAAUUUUUUCCAAAUUACCCUUAAAAUAAAUUAUCUACAAUUUGAAUGCUCAUUCAUCUUCUUUAUAUAUAUUUGUGCAAUCCACUAUCUUCUCUCUCUUCUUUUUCAUCUCUCUCCUUCUAUAUCUGACUAUCCCCCUUUUUUUCUUCUCUCCUUAUUUAACUCUCCCUCUCUUGCAAUCACUCUUUUUAAUAUAAUCAUAUAUUCUUCACACAAAAAAUAGAAGUAAUUUGGUCAUGUGUUUUUAAUUGCAAAAUAUUUAAAUUAAUUUUUUAAUUUGCUAUGUCUAUGGUUAAUAUAGUUUAGUUUGUUUUGAUUUAUAAGAUCAUGUGUAAUCUUAAUACUAACAACUUUUUAAUUAUGAAGAAAAAUGGUAAAAAUACACAAAAGAGAGCUAACAAAAAUUUUAGGCAACAAGUAAUAAAAAAAAAAAGAAAAAAAAAAGAAGAGGAGGAGUGAGAUGACGUAAAAAAGAGAGUGGAUGAGGAGAGUGGAUGAGAAAAAUUAGUUAUAUGAGAAAUUGAGUUUAUGGGAUAAUUAGGUAUUGGUUAAGGAUGAGGAAAGAGAAAGUAGAUGGAUGGACAAAUAAAAUGGUGUUUUGGACAUUUGAUAGCAUAUUUAAUUAGUAGUAAUUAGGUUUCUUAAUAUAUGUACUCACCUCUAAAAUGUCAGAUAAAACGGAACUGAGGGAGUAGCAAGCAAGUUAGAUAAUAGCUCCUCUAAUUAAAAUAUAUUUGGGUCUCUCAAAUUAGGAGCAACUUGUAUGCAAUAAUAAGCUUCAUAUAUAAAAAUAACCUUGAAACCCAACAUAUUUUUGGUAUUUGAGCUUUCAACCCUUACCCUUUCUACUCCAUAUAUACAACCCAUUUCAACAUACAUAAUCCAUGGCAUCAUCCUCUGUUAACGUAGCUUUUAAUUAUUCUUCUACUUUAGUGCCGAUAUUUGAUGGAGAAAGUUAUGACUACUGGAGCAUCCAAAUGAAGACCCUUGUUAAAGAAUUAAGAUUGUCGUAGUUCAAUGAACAAUUUCCCACACUUUAUUGAUGUAAUAGUAGCUGAUUUAUAUACAAAGCUAGGAAAAACUAUUUAUGACAAUGUAAUCAAUUUAGCUAAAACUAUGCAGCGGUUGCAGAUUUGCAGCAGUUACAAAAAUAUACAAAAGUGAUUUUAAAUGAUCUUGAUUGUAGGAUAGAUAUGCUCUGUUCAGUCUUGGCCUUGAUUCUUGCAAUCUAUCUUUAUACGCCCCGCAAAAUUGAGCUUUCAUCAGCAAGCCCAAUCUUGUUUCUCAAGAUUUCUGUUCUUUGGCUGGACAAUGGUUCUGUCAACAGGUCAGCCAAUUGAUCUUGUGUAUGAACAUGUCGAACUUGGAGAGUGACACGUUGAACAAGAUCACUCACAAAAUGAAGAUCGAUUUGUAUAUGUUUCAUGCGUGAAUGUUGGACAAGAUUGAAACUUAGGUGCGUAGCACCAAGGUUAUCGCACAGUAGUAAGGGGGCUGCGCCUUUGAGUGGAAAACCCAACUAAUGAAGGAGGGCCAGAAGCCACAUUGUCUAGGAUGCCACAUUCGCAAGAGCUCAAUAUUCAGCUUUGGUGGUAGAUCUUGCAACUGCUCGUUUUUUUGAGCUCGGGAUUUGGGCCUAAGAAGCUGAUAUAGGCAAAUGUGGAGGUACGGUCAUCAGCAUUUCCAGCCCAAUUUGCAUCUGAAUAGGUAACUAAAGUUGGAGGUCCAGAUUUUGUGAGUUGUAUACCAUGGAAAAUGGUUUGCUUUAAGUACCGAAGGAGCCUUUUUGUUGCUGUGAAGUGAGUGAUGGUAGGCUUGUGCAUGAAUUGAGAUAACUUUGUUGACUGCAAAUGAGAUAUCUGGACGUGUCAAAGAAAGAUAUUGCAAGCUGCCAAUAAUUCUUCGAAAUUCUGUGUUGUCCAUAUUUGUCGUGCCAUCAAUUAACUUCAGAGACUGAGUUGUUGAAAGAGGAGUGGAGUCAUCUUUGGCACCACUCAUGUUGGUGUUGGACAAUAGUUCGCAAAUAUACUUGUGUUGUGAGAGAAAAAGUCCUGCUUGAGUAGGUAUAACUUCUACACCUAGGAAGUAAUGAAGUAGACUCAUAUCCUUGAGAGAGAAACGAUCUCCCUGUUGCUUGAUAAUUGAAGCUACAAAAUUUCUGUUAUUUCCUGUAAUCACAAGAUCAUCGGCAUAUACCAAGAAAUAACAGAUUAUAGAGUUCUUUCUAUAAAUAAAUAAGGACGAAUCAGCUCUGGAAUUUUCAAACCCAAGCUCAAGCAGUACAUUUUUCAGUGUAGUGUACCAAGCCCGAGGAACUUGUUUGAGCCCAUAUAUUGCUUUUUGGAGCCUGCAAACAUGAGUAGGUUUAGAUGGAUCUUUGAAAUCUGGGGGUUGCAUCAUAUAGACUUUCUCGGACAAUGCACCAUGUAAAAAGGCAUUAUUAACAUCCAUUUACCUUAACUCCCAACUAUUCACAACAUCAAUAGACAAAAAUGUUCUAAUUGUAGCUGGUUUAACUAUUGGACUGAAGGUCUCUUUGUAGUUGAGCUCGGGACAUUGAUUAUAACCCUUUGCAACUAAACGGGCUUUGAAUCGAUCCACUAACCCACCAGAUUUCCUCUUCACCAGGAACACCCAUUUGUAGCCUACUGGGUUACAGUUCAGAGGGGGUGGCACUAAAUCCCAAGUGCCAUGUUAUGUUUGUCAUUAAUCUAGGCAUGAUUACAAAGAAUGCAGAUUUAGAUGCACAAAAUGUAAAGUGCCAAACCAUUCUCAAAGAGACUGCUGCUUUCAACAAAGCAAUCAGAAAACAACAAAUCAUUCUGAUGCAAAUUUCUCUGAAGAAAAUAGUACCAAACAACUAUUUUAUUCUUGCAUGAGCUCACAAAUUGAUUCAGAAAAUACAUGGUACUUGGACAGUGGAUGCACUAAUCACAUGACAGGGUGCAAAAAGUUCUUUGUUGAACUAGAUGAUUAUGUUCAAUCUCAAGUCAAAUUGAGCGAUGUAAAAUUACAAACUAUUGAAGGUCGAGAUAUUGUUGUUGUACAAACAAAUAGAGGUAACACUAAACUCAUUCAUAACGUUUUAUACGUUCCUGGCUUAACUCAAAAUUUACUGAGUGUUGGUCAAUUAAUUCAAAAUGGGUACUCAGUUAAUUUUUAGAAAGAUGAAUGCAGUAUUAGUGAAAAAGACAAAAUUCUACUAACAGUGAAAAUGACAAAAAAUAAUUUUUUCCUCUUUUAAUGCCAACGGUCGUCAAUUCUGCUUUUUCUAAAAUGGACAAAAUUGACGAGUCCGAGUUAUGGCACCUAAGAUAUGGUCAUCUGAAUUAUAAAGGCUUUCAAUUGUUGACAGGAAUAUUUUUUUUAGUAGCGACUUUUCACUACCAAUCCUUCUAUCUUCCGACCGGGGUAGUGACAGGCUGGAAUUUUUUUUUUUUAAUUUUUUAUUGUUUUUGAUUAUUAAAUAAUUAAUGUGAUUUAUUAGAACUGAAAUUUUUAUGAAAUACAGUGAUUUAGGUAUCAUUUGAAUACAUGUAAAAAACAGAAUUACACAGUUUAUACAAUCCUGUUUUUACAUGUAUCCAAAUGACACCUAAAUCAAUGCAUUUUGUAAAAAUUUCAGUUUUAAUAAAUCACAUUAAUUAUUUGGUAGUCAAAAGCAAAAAAAAAAUUUUAAAAAAACAUAAAUUUUUUGCCGGUCACUACCCCGGUCGGAAGACGCCGCUCGCUGUAACUUAUUGUUUCACUACAAGGAAAUGGGUCGGUAAUGAAGGACAAAUCUUUUACAAGAAAUAGUAUAUUCCUCACAAGAGAUUUAAUAUGAAGAAAACUUUCUUUUGCUCGCAUUAAAGCUACUCGCUAAAAGUAUCAUUCGCUAAGUUAUAUAGUGACUAAAUAUUUUUUAUAAUGAAUAUAUUGUGAAGAAUAUGUUCUUCACAAAUUAUAUAUUGUAAAAGAUUAUUUUUAUUUGGGGGGAGAUGAUUUCCUAACAAUUAACAUUUUGAAAUAACUAGUAAAAAUGUCUUCCUUCAUAAAUAACAAUUUGUGAAGAACAUAUUUACUUUAAAAAUAUUAGAUUUCCUUCACUAAUUACAUAGUGUGAUUUUUUUUAUUUACUAAGAAGAAAUUUCUUUGACAAUUCUGCUAUUAAAUAAUCAAAUCAUUACACAUUAAAAAUAUUUUUAAAAUUAUUUAUUAAUUUGUAAUCAAUAUCAAAUAAAACAUUAUAUUAUAUAAAUAACCAAUUAUAUAAUCCACAAUUAAAUAUGUAAUAAUCAAGUAACAAAACAUACAAGCUUGUAAUCAAAAUAAAUUUAGGUGCUCCGAAGGUCAUAGUACCUAAAAUAUUUAAUCAUUAAUACAAGUAAUGAUGUAAGAAAAAUAAGCUAUAAAAAUUUUGUAGCUUUGUCAUGUUAAGUCCUCUCUUUAUUGUCAUAAUUUUUUUCAAAGCAACGUUGGUCUUGUAAACUUCAAAAAAAUACCAAAACUUAACUUAAAAUAUUAGAAUGAAAAGAAUAUGACAAGAGUAAACUGACAAAAAAAUUAAGAAGCGAUUUCACAAGCAAAAGUUAUAGUUCUACAAGAUCUUUAUCUCACAUCACAUGAAUAGUAAAUGUGCCUCACUUAUGUGAGAAGAAACUUGUAAAAAUAUAAAAUUUUAUAACUUGUGCGUGCAAAUAUCAAUGUCCUAAUUAAAUAAGAAAUAUUAUUAAAACGAUAAAAGAUGAGAGCUUGGUACUUAUAUAUAUACAUUUAUAACCAUGUAUACAAAUAAAUGUGCAACAAAAUAUAAUUAUAAGUUAUCACAAUGUCUUUUAGGAAGCUUGGUACCUAUGUGUGUGUGUGUGUAUAUAUAAAUAUAUAUAUAUAUAUAUAUAUAUAUAUAUAUAUAUAUUUUCCCCUUCAAGUUUAACUAUUUUAUUAAUUUGUCCCCUUAAAUUUAUUAAUUUACAUAUUUGUCCUUAUUAUUAUACCUAAAAAAAUCUAAAAGGGGAAGCUGCCUAUGUUGCCCUUUAACAAAUCCGCUCCUGAUUGUUAGCUAGAAAAAUAUGGUGGUUGGACUACCAAAAAUUAAAAUGGAGGACAAAAUUUGUGAAGGAUGUAUUUAUGGAAAAAUGCAUCGUUUGCCAUUUCUAAAAAUUGCAUGGCGAGCAACUCCUCUUGAACUUUGUUCAUGCAGAUAUAUGUAGACCAACAAGAAUAUCAUCAUUUCAAAACAAAAGAUAUUUUCUUCUCUUUGUUGAUUAUUAUAGCAGGAUGAUGUGGGUCUACUUUCUCGAGCAAAAGUCUAAAGCUUUUUCAAAAUUCUUGGAGUUCAUGAAGAUGGCAGAAAGGCAAUGGGCAAUGUGACUUCCUUCUUAAAAUGCUCCGGACAGACUGCGGUGGUGAAUUCAUUUCAAAAGAAUUUAUGAAUGCAAGAGCGAAGGAAUCAAAACGCAGCGGAUUGUUCGCUACAGUCCUCAGUAAAAUGACGUAGCAGAACGAAAAAAAUCGAACAAUUGUCGAGAUGGCGUGAAGCAUGUUGGAAACAAAAACUCUUCCCAACAACUUUUGGACUGUGACGCCUCCAAAUUCGGGUACUUGAAACCUGUAUUAGGUGCUACACGAUAUUAUUGUUUCAAUCUGCUUAAUAUAUUAAAUAAUUAAAAAGAUUAUAUCAUAAUUGUCUAUCACAGGUACGAAAAACUUUAAAUACUUCAUUACAUGAUAGAUAAUGUAUUAUCACAUUACAAAAUUAUAACUACUACAAACGCCUUUUAACUACUCAUUUAGCUUCCCUUUGCCUUUGUCCUUGCCGGACCCUUCUGCACGAUCCUGUCUAGCUAAAAACAGUUAAGUUCAAAACAAGGCUGAGCAUUCAAUUGCUCAGCAGGUAAUAACAGACAAUAAGCAAUAUAUGAAAAGAUUAAAUAUUUUCUUUAAGAUAUACUUCUACAACGAAUUGAUAGUUGUGAAGUAACUUAAAUAAUUCUUAUUACCAUAGCAAAUUACUUACAUUUUUGAAACGAUUUAGUGACUAUAGAUGUUGAGCGGUCAAAAGACCAUGAACUUUGAUUUCAAGUUUCUGAUAAGGUUUGAACAUAAAUUCAUCUGCAAACCGACAUAGUUACGGGGACGGUGGGUGAUCAGCCCGUUAUGCCCUGCGUUGAUCAACACUACGUAGGAGAACAACAUUCGCGUUCAUCAUAACCGCCUUUGGCGCAUAAAAAUUUUCCAAAUAAAGGAAGUUCAUACUCAGACUAGAAUUCUAAACCAAAACAAUUUUGAUGGAAAGCUCUACCUAAUCCCAAUAAUAUUUUAGAUAUUUCGAAACUUUUAAAACAUAGGUUAUAGCAAUUGAACCAAAUUUAAGCAACCGAUAAAAGAGUUGCACAAAUUUUAGAACCAAUACAUAUGGAUAUUCAUAAAAGAAUUUUUAAACGAAUAUACUAAUUGUACAUUAAAGACUCCUUUAAUGGAAAUAGGAGUUUUUAUGUAUAGUUCUAUUAAAAUCUUAAUCCAAUGAUUGGAUUAGAUUUGGUUUCCUUAAAGAUAGGAAGUCAAAUUAGAUACAGUAAUCAUAGGCCGGUUAGGAUUGUAGAUUUAAUUUUUAAAAGUCAAGUCUCCUGAUUGAAAUAUACCGACACGUGGUAUGAUAGGUCCCACCGAAUCAACCAGGCCCACAAAAUCAUGCCCCGGCAUUAUCUAAACCUUUUCUUUCUCCUCCCAAAAGGAAGAAAAAAAAUGUCUCACAGAAGAAGUAGAGCUUCAACAAUCUUAGAAGGGUGUAUUCAAUUAAGAUUUUUAAAGACUUUAAAAGUUUUGUUGUAUUCAAUCAAGAUAUUUAAAGAGUUUAUAAAAGUUUACUGGUAUUCAAUUACAACUUUUGUAAUGUCUUUAAAAGUUAGGUGGUAUUGAUUUGAGACUUUUACAAAGUCUAUAAAAGUAUUUUGGUAUUCAAAAAGUCAUAGAUUUUUCAGAUUUCUAUCAAAUGGUAGAGUUUUACAGACUUUAGAAGAAGAGAUACUCAUAUCCAAAGUCUGAUCUCAUCUCUAAAGACUUUCAAAGACUUCUAAAUAUUUGAGAAAGGAAGAAGAUGAACAUAGGAAAAAGAGAUAGAGGAGAUCAAAUAAAGAAGAGAAAAAAAAGAAAUAUAUAUAUAUAUCUUUUUCUCUUUCUCUCUAUACCUUAUUCCUCUCAAAAUAAAAACCCCAAAAGAAAAGAGGGCUAUUAUAACAGAUGAGGAGAGAGAAAAAUGAGGAAGGGUUAAAAAGAGGAAGUAGCAGGGAGAAAAAAGUGGAAGGGAUAAAAAGAGGGAGUAGUGUUAAGGGUUCCAAAUAGAAUCAAUAGUAUAAAUGAAGAUAACAAAUAUUUUAAUAUCAUUUUAUAUUUCUUAUCUCCCAUAAAAAAAUCUCAUUUAUUAUAUUUGUAAAUUAAAAGUACUAAAUUUGUUAAUUUUUUUAUUUAUUGAAAAUUAUAAAUUGUUAGUUUAAUAAUAACGACUUGAUAGGAAAAUGACAAUGAAAAUUUUAAAAUCGAAAUUGUUAUUUUAUAUUAUUGUUAGUAGAAAAUGACUUUUUUUUAUGAAAUAUGACAUUUUCUUGUAAUAGACGGGGUAUGAUAUAAUAAUUCAACUUCAACAAUGUCUUUUAUUUCAAAUUAAGUUGUGACAUGGUCAUUAUAUUUUAAUAUUAUUUAAUAUCGUACUCAUUUCAUCUAAAAUAUAAGAUCUUUGUUAAUUUUUUAACAAUUAAUAUAAGUUACAAUAUAUAUUAGAAGUAUACAAAAGUCUAUCAAAGUCUUGAUAAAAAGUCUAUAAAAAUUUGUCGCUUAUUUAAUGGAAUCUUUAAAAGUCAUUAAAAUCUGCAAACUCUAUAAAAGUCUCUCGCUUAAAAAAAAUAUUUAAAAAUCUUUAUUAAAUACACCCCCCUUAGAAAUAUUUUCACUAACACUCUGUUUCUGAGUUUUAAAAUGGACAGGAAAAAAAAAUUGACAGAAAAUUAAAGUUUUCUUUCCAAUUCUUAUGUUUCUGAGUUUUUUAAUAAACGGAAAAGAAAAGAAAUAGAUAGAAAACUUGGCCACUUUUCCUGCCAAAGUUUUUCGUUCAAAAUUGGCCUGAUUUGGACGGAAAAAAAAUUAGAAUAAGUAAUAAUUUUAUAAUUCUCAUAUUAUCCUCAACUUUUAAAAUAAUAAAUUUAAAAUUACAACUCAUCUCCUCAAUUUUAAAUUUUCUAUUCUUUUCUAUUAAAAACUCGGAAACAAUACAAAGAAAAACUUCAAGUUUUCUAUUCUUUUCUUUUCUGUUCUAAUUUAAAUUUUCUAUUUUUUUCUUUUCUGUUCAAAACUCAGAAACAGACUGUAAAUUCUAUGUGAUACCUGGUUCUUCUAAUCUUAGCAGUGAUCUUUAUAUUUCUUGGAAUUCAAUGGUUUAUUUCAUAUGAGGAUAUGGUUGAAAGCACUGAAUGGGUUGGAUGUUAAUGGUCGCA